RNAcentral lists this ribosomal RNA (439 nucleotides) under uncultured bacterium. RNAcentral describes it as "partial 16S ribosomal RNA". It matches the Rfam family "Bacterial small subunit ribosomal RNA", at positions 338 to 795 of the family's 1533-position model. The record is from RNAcentral.
CCUACGGGUGGCAGCAGUGGGGGAUAUUGCACAAUGGGGGGAACCCUGAUGCAGCGACGCCGCGUGGGUGAAGAAGCGCCUCGGCGCGUAAAGCCCUGUCAGCAGGGAAGAAAAUGACGGUACCUGAAGAAGAAGCCCCGGCUAACUACGUGCCAGCAGCCGCGGUAAUACGUAGGGGGCAAGCGUUAUCCGGAUUUACUGGGUGUAAAGGGGGCGCAGACGGCGAUGCAAGCCAGGAGUGAAAGCCCGGGGCUAAACCUCGCUCCGCCGUUGAAACUGGCGUUCUUGAGUGGGCGAGAAGUAGGCGGAAUGCGUGGUGUAGCGGUGAAAUGCAUAGAUAUCACGCAGAACUCCGAUUGCGAAGGCAGCAUACCGGCGCCCAACUGACGCUGAAGCACGAAAGCGUGGGUAUCGAACAGGAUUAGAUACCCCAGUAGUC